AGGAUAGAGGCCUACCAUGGUGGUAACGGGUAACGGGGUGUUAGGGCACGACACCGGAGAGGGAGCCUGAGAAACGGCUACCACAUCCAAGGAUGGCAGCAGGCGCGCAAAUUACCCAAUCCCGACACGGGGAGGUAGUGACAAUAAAUAACAAUACGGGGUUCUUUAGGAUCUCGUAAUUGGAAUGAGUACAAUUUAAAUCUCUUAACGAGGAACAAUUGGAGGGCAAGUCUGGUGCCAGCAGCCGCGGUAAUUCCAGCUCCAAUAGCGUAUAUUAAAGUUGUUGCAGUUAAAAAGCUCGUAGUCGAAUUUCGGGGUUAGUAGGUUGGUCAUGCCUCUGGUAUGUACUGGUCUCACUGAUUCCUCCUUCCUUAUGAACCGUAAUGCCAUUAAUUUGGUGUUGCGGGGAAUUUGGACUGUUACUUUGAAAAAAUUAGAGUGUUUAAAGCAAGCUAACGCUUGAAUACAUUAGCAUGGAAUAAUGAAAUAGGACGUUCGAUCUUAUUUUGUUGGUUUCUAGGAUUGACGUAAUGAUUAAUAGGGAUAGUUGGGGGCAUUAGUAUUCAAUUGUCAGAGGUGAAAUUCUUGGAUUUAUUGAAGACUAACUACUGCGAAAGCAUUUGCCAAGGAUGUUUUCAUUAAUCAAGAACGAAAGUUAGGGGAUCGAAGACGAUCAGAUACCGUCGUAGUCUUAACCAUAAACUAUGCCGACUAGGGAUCGGAUGA
Molecule: ribosomal RNA, 726 nt
Filed under: uncultured fungus
Lineage: Eukaryota; Fungi
Description: SSU rRNA
Rfam family: Eukaryotic small subunit ribosomal RNA
Source: RNAcentral